This 429-nucleotide ribosomal RNA is filed under the name Chloroflexota bacterium. RNAcentral describes it as "Chloroflexi bacterium partial 16S ribosomal RNA". It matches the Rfam family "Bacterial small subunit ribosomal RNA", at positions 355 to 776 of the family's 1533-position model. Lineage: Bacteria; Bacillati; Chloroflexota. The record is from RNAcentral.
UGGGGAAUAUUGCACAAUGGGCGCAAGCCUGAUGCAGCCAUGCCGCGUGUAUGAAGAAGGCCUUCGGGUUGUAAAGUACUUUCAGUCGGGAGGAAGGUGGUAAGGUUAAUAACCUUAUCAAUUGACGUUACCGACAGAAGAAGCACCGGCUAACUCCGUGCCAGCAGCCGCGGUAAUACGGAGGGUGCAAGCGUUAAUCGGAAUUACUGGGCGUAAAGCGCACGCAGGCGGUUGAUUGAGUCAGAUGUGAAAUCCCCGGGCUUAACCCGGGAAUUGCAUCUGAUACUGGUCAGCUAGAGUCUUGUAGAGGGGGGUAGAAUUCCAUGUGUAGCGGUGAAAUGCGUAGAGAUGUGGAGGAAUACCGGUGGCGAAGGCGGCCCCCUGGACGAAGACUGACGCUCAGGUGCGAAAGCGUGGGGAGCAAACAGG